CCCUUUAAUUACUAAUCUAUUUUUAUUAUUUUAUAAAUGCUCGAAAAAAAACUAAGAGAGUAGUUUGAUCUAUGCGAUAAAAUCUAAAUUAUCAAGAAACUCAACAUGUCUUAAAUCCAGCUUAUUUCCUCCCAUUUUUCACACUUAUUUCUCAACCUAACAUAAAAACACCUCUAUUUGGUGAAAUAUACUUGUUCCUUGUGUAAGAAAAAACUCUCCUCAAAGUUAUUCUGCACCAAAAAAACCAUCCAAGAGUGUAAAUCAUGAUCAUUUUUUGUACUUUGACGCCAAGCAAUGAAAAGCCGACAACCUUCGGACCUGGUAGAGGUGGUCGAAGUUCCGUGAACCAACCAUUGCAUUCCGUAGCUUGCUUUUCCAACUACCUGUUAUCUUCUGCCGUAUCCAAGGCGGAUCCAGCAUCAUUAGCUCUCUCAGCAGCCACAAUUCCGACAGGAUAUUAAUGACCAAUAAGAUUCCAAAAAAAA
Molecule: long non-coding RNA, 485 nt
Filed under: Phoenix dactylifera (date palm)
Lineage: Eukaryota; Viridiplantae; Streptophyta; Magnoliopsida; Arecales; Arecaceae
Description: long non-coding RNA (PDAC_LNC001908)
Source: RNAcentral